RNAcentral lists this ribosomal RNA (321 nucleotides) under uncultured bacterium. Its description in RNAcentral is "bacterial SSU rRNA". It matches the Rfam family "Bacterial small subunit ribosomal RNA", at positions 470 to 789 of the family's 1533-position model. The record is from RNAcentral.
UGACGGUACCUCUUGAAUAAGCUCCGGCUAACUACGUGCCAGCAGCCGCGGUAAUACGUAGGGAGCAAGCGUUAUCCGGAUUUACUGGGUGUAAAGGGCGUGUAGGCGGGACUGCAAGUCAGAUGUGAAAGCACAGGGCUCAACUCUGUGUCUGCAUUUGAAACUGUAGUUCUUGAGUGCUGGAGAGGCUAACGGAAUUCCUAGUGUAGCGGUGAAAUGCGUAGAUAUUAGGAGGAACACCAGUGGCGAAGGCGGUUAGCUGGACAGUAACUGACGCUGAGGCGCGAAAGCGUGGGUAGCAAACAGGAUUAGGAUACCCUG